UCUCCGUAGGUGAACCUGCGGAGGGAUCAUUACUGAGUGAGGGCUUCGGUCCGACCUCCAACCCUUUUGUGAACCACCUCGUUGCUUCGGGGGCGACCCCGCCGUUUCGGCGGUGGCGCUCCCGGAGCCCAUCAAACCCUGCGUAACUAAGUCGUCGGAGUUUAAACAAAUUAAACAAAACUUUCAACAACGGAUCUCUUGGUUCGGGCAUCGAUGAAGAACGCAGC
RNAcentral lists this unclassified non-coding RNA (227 nucleotides) under uncultured fungus. RNAcentral describes it as "sequence contains ITS1, 5.8S rRNA gene". The stretch from base 179 to 227 matches the Rfam family "5.8S ribosomal RNA", at positions 1 to 49 of the family's 154-position model. Lineage: Eukaryota; Fungi. The record is from RNAcentral.